UUUUUGCAACAUUAAACUUCUUGUUUCUUCUAGACAUCUUAAAUGCUUUGUUGAAGUUUUGAGUAAGCAAAGCCCUUUACUCUUGGAUUUCUUCAAUAGCAACAUUACUAGUAGUUGCAAAUUGGGGUUUCAACUUGAAGUGUUGUGUUCUUUUCACCUUUGGAUAUGUUCUUCCUGGAUUCAUCAAGGUUCAUUCCAAAUGUUUGUAGCGGCCCUAUGAGUUUAUUAAUGCGCAUACUAUCU
RNAcentral lists this long non-coding RNA (243 nucleotides) under Gossypium barbadense (sea-island cotton). RNAcentral's name for it is "long non-coding RNA (GBAR_LNC022229)". The record is from RNAcentral. Lineage: Eukaryota; Viridiplantae; Streptophyta; Magnoliopsida; Malvales; Malvaceae.